Ovis aries (sheep) is the source of this 73-nucleotide non-coding RNA. NCBI's taxonomy places the organism in Eukaryota, Metazoa, Chordata, Mammalia, Artiodactyla, Bovidae. The record is from Rfam.
UCCCUGGUGGCUCAGAGGUUAAAGCAUCUGUCUGCAAUGUGGGGGACCUGGGUUCAAUUCCUGGGUCAGGGAG